RNAcentral lists this ribosomal RNA (2872 nucleotides) under Salmonella enterica subsp. enterica. Its description in RNAcentral is "23S ribosomal RNA". It matches the Rfam family "Bacterial large subunit ribosomal RNA". Lineage: Bacteria; Pseudomonadati; Pseudomonadota; Gammaproteobacteria; Enterobacterales; Enterobacteriaceae. The record is from RNAcentral.
GGUUAAGCUGCGACUAAGCGUACACGGUGGAUACUUACACGGCGAUCCAGAAGGCGAUGAAGGCGUGCUAAUCUGCGAUAAGCGCCGGUAAGGUGAUAUAGGCGUUAUAACCGGCGAUACCGAAUGGGAAACCCAGUGUGAUUCGUCACACUAUCAUUAACUGAAUCCGCUGGGUUAAUGAGGCGAACCGGGAACUGAAACAUCUAAGUACCCCGAGGAAAAAAUCAACCGAAGAUUCCCCAGUAGCGGCGAGCGGUGGGGAGGAGCAGAACUAAGACAUGUGUGUUAGUGGAAGUGUCUGAAGGCGCGCGAUACAGGGGUGACGGCCCGUACUUUUAAAAGCGCAUGUGCUGUGAAGCUCGAUAGUAGGGCGGGACACGUGGUAUCCUGUCUGAAUAUGGGGGACCAUCCUCCAAGGCUAAAUACUCCUGACUGACCGAUGGUGAACAGUACCGUGAGGAAAGGCGAAAAGAACCCCGGCAGGAUGAAAAAGAACCUGAAACCGUGUACGUUGCAAGCAGUGGGAGCACAGGUUUUGCCUGUGUGACUUCGUACGCUACACGUAUAAUGGGUCAGCGACUUAUAUUCUGUAGCAAAGGUUAACCGAAUAGGGGAGCCGGAGGGAAACCGAGUCUUAAUUGGGCGUUAAGUUGCAGGGUAUAGACCCGAAACCCGGUGAUCUAGCCAUGGGCAGGUUGAAGGUUGGGUAACACUAACUGGAGGACCGAACCGACUAAUGACGAAAAAUUAGCGGAUGACCUGUGGCGCAGGGGUGAAAACCCAUCAAACCGGGAGAUAGCUGGUUCUCCCCGAAAGCUAUUUAGGUAGCGCCUCGUGAACUCAUCUCGGGGUAGAGCACUGUUUCGGCUAGGGGCCAUCAGCUUACCAACGAUACAAGCUGCGAAUACCGGAGGAAGUGUUAUCACAGGAGACACGGCGAACUGCGUCCCGUCGUGAAGAAGGAAACAGCAGACCGCCAGCUAAGGUCCCCAAAGUCAUGGUUAAGUGGGGAAACGAUGUGGGAAGGCCCGAACAGCCCGGGAUGUUGGCCCAAAGCAGCCAUCAUUUAAAAGCGUAAUAACUCACUGGUCGGAGUCGGCCUGCGCGGAAGAUGUAACAGGGCUAAACCAGCGGCAGCGACGCGCUUUAUGCGUUGUUGGGUGAGGAAGCGUUCUGUAAACGCUGUGGGCGACGCAAUGAGGGUUGCUGGAGGUAUCAGAAGUGCGAAGAUGCUGACAUAGUAACGAUAAAGCGGGUGAAAGCCCGCUCGCCGGAACAAGGGUUUCCUGUCAACGUUAAUCGGGGCAGGGUGAGUCGACUAAGGCGAAGCCGAGGCAUGAUCGAUGGGAAGCAGGUUAGCCAUAUUCCCGUACUUGGGUAUUUACUGCCGCGAAGGGGGACGGAGGAAAGGCUAUGUUGGCCGGGCGACAGUUGUCCCGGUUUUAAGCGUGUAGUGUGUGUUCGAGAGUAAGAAAUCCGGUUCUACUUUAACACUGAGGCGUGAUGAGGCACUGCGGUGCUGAAGCAACAAAUGCCUGCUUCCGGGAAAAGCCUCUAGCAUCCGGAAAUGACAUCAAAUAACUUUAAACAAACUGCAGGUGGUCGGGUAAGAAAUACCAAGGCGCUUGAGAGAACUCGGUGAAAGAACUACAGAGCAAAAUGGUGCCGUAACUUCAGGAGAAGCACGCUGACAUGUGGGUGAAGUGUGAUUUAUAUGGAAUGAAGUCGAUCGAAAAGAUACCAGCUGGCUGCAACUGUUUAUUAAAACACAGCACUGUGCAAACACGGAAGUGGACGUAUACGGUGGCUGACGCCUGCCAGUGCCGGAAGGUUAGUGAUGGGGUCAGCGCAAGAAGCGAAGCUCUAAUCGAAGAAGCCCCACGUCAAGCGGCGGCCGUAAUAUAACGGUCUAAGGUAGCUAUUCCUUGUCGGGUAAGUUCGACCUGCACGAAUGGCGUAAUGAUGGCGGUUCUGUCUCCGCAGACUCGGUAAAUUGAACCUCGCUGUGAAGAUGCGGUGUACCCGCGGCAAGAACGGAAGACCCCGAUGAACCUUUACUAUAACCCGACGCGACAUUGAGCCUUGAUGUGUAGGGACGGGUGGGAAGCGUGUGGACGCCAGUCUGCGCAUGGAGCCGACUUGUGAAAUACCACCUUUAAUGUUUGAUGUUCUAACGUGGAUUGUAGUCGGGUUGCGGACAGUGUCUGGUGGGUAGUUUGACUGGGGCGGUCUCACUCCUAAAGAGUAACGGAGGGCACGAAGGUUGGCUGAAAUACUGGUCGGACAUCAGGAGGUUAGUGCAAUGGCAUAAGCCAGCUUGACUGCCUGACGUGACGGCGCGAGCGGUGCAGCAGGUCAUAGUGAUCCGGUGGUUCUGAAUGGAAGGGCCAUCGCUCAACGGUAAAAGGUACUCCGGGGAUAACAGGCUGAUACCGCUUAGAGUUCAUAUCGACGGCGGUGUUUGGCAUAUCGAUGUCGGCUCAUCACAUCUGGGGCUGAAGUAGGUCCCAAGGGUGGCUGUUCGCCAUUUUAAGUGGUACGGCGGGUUUAGAACGUCGUGAAGAACAGUUCGGUCCCCUAUCUGCAAAUGAGCGCUGGAGAACUGAGGGGGCUGCUCUCCUGGUACGAAGGACCGGAGUGGACGCAUCACUGGUAUUUCGAGGUUGUCAUGCCAAUGGCACUGCCCGGCCAGCUAAAUGCCGGAAGAGAUAAGUGCUGAAAGCAUCUAAGCACCGAAACUUGCCGAGAUGAGUUCAUCACGCGGGCAUUCUCCUGAAGGAACGUUGAAGACGACGACGUUGAUAAGGCCGGUGUGUAAAGCGCAGCGUGCGUUGAGCUUAACCGGUUAAUGAAUUACGUGAGGCUUGUACUA